CAUAUUCCCCCGGCAGCUCCAUCCAUCAUCCCUUGCCCGCAUGCCCCAGUCCCCAGGCACACAGAGAGUUUCCAUGGCUCAUUCAGUGCCCCAACAGGGCUCUCUACAUAGCUGGGGGGAUGGCAGAAGGGGGGUGGAAUGAGAAAAUUACUGAAUGGGACCACUGGAAGGCACCACUCAAAGUGGUAUUUUGGAGGAGGCUGGGGUCUGGGCUUUCGGUGAGUCACAGGUGGCCUUGGACUCAGGCCAAGGUCCCCCCUCACUGGCUGCAUCUCUAGUGGGCAGUGUCCUCAGUGGGUGGGGACAUGUCAGCUUACCCACCCCCCAUGGAGCUGGAGGAGGCUGUUUAAUAUUGUGUCAAGUCUGUGGCCACUAAACUGGACGAUCAAUGGGAGUUAAGGAGAUGAAUUAUUUAAACCUCACCAGCUUUUAAUUAGUCGGGAUCCUUCUGACCGAUGACUCCGUCCACAGGGUAUUGACUCCCCCGCAGGAGCAGCAGCCUCCAUUGAGCGGUGCCUGGGUUGAGGGGGGCCACUCGGGGUACCAAAUGGGGGUAUACCCUCAAGGGGAUUCUUGUUUGGAAGGAAACUGGAGUGGCUAUGAUUCCAGGCAGUUGGAGGCUCUGUUAGUUUCUGAUCUAUCAGUAUGAAUAUGUUAUCUGUCUAUCUGUGUGUCUGCAUAUGUGUGACACCUUUAGCUGUAUGUCUGUGUGUCAGACUGAGAGUAUAAUGUGUCCAUGAUUAUACAUGUCUGUUGGGGAGCGUGUAACAGUAUAUCUGUAUUUUUCUGAGGGCAUGAGUCUGUGUGGAAGCAGCUACCAGUCUGUGUGUGUAUCUGUCAGGUGUGUCUGUUCAGUUCUGUAUAUCUUACUUUGUUUGCAUAUGCACAUGUGUGCAUGCAGAUGCUCUCAGGUAGGGCACCUGACCAAGCAUAGGCCUUGUUCCAAGUGGGGAAGAGCCAGAGUGUCUCUGGGCAGUGCGCUGACAUUACCACAGCCUGUGAGCCUUUGGGGUCGCAUCAUUGUGGGGGGGACUGGAGAGAGAAUACCAGUCACCUCCUUCAUAGUAGACCCCUUAUCCAUUCCAGACAUUCACUGGUGCCUUGUGGGUGCUGGGCGUGCUGAGUAGAAGUUUCUGUUCUCAGUGAGCUCGCAUCCUGGGAAGAGACAGGAAAUAGGUGCUUGCCACCCAGGGUACUUAGGGCUGUGAUAGAAAACACCUGGGUUGCCCCAAAGGUGGUUUUCCCUCUCCUCAGUUGCCAAGUAGCUUCUACUUUUUCAGUUACCUCUCACUAAGAGGUAGUGAUAUGGGGGCAUCUCACCCCAGGAGGGAUGCCCUCAUAUUCUUAUUGGGACAUUUCAAGGGUUUCCCAGGGCCCAGGCUAAGAGGAAGUGACCAACAGGCCUGGGGAACUGGGGGUACUCCACUAUAACUGCUGUUCCCUCUCAUAGAUGUUUUCCAAACAAUCUAGAGAAGAUGCCAAACCCAGCAGGGUAAUAUGCUUGGGAGGUCAGCAGGAAGUUUCCUAGAGAAGAGGACACUUGAAUUGGGAUCUCUGAAAGAUGAAUAGGAGUUUGCUGGGCAGAAAAAUGGGGGAAGGGUAUUUUAGGUAGGAGGACUCUGUAGAAAGGCCUGUGGGCAUGAGAAACCCAGUGUGUUGAGGACAAGUUCAGACACCUACAAGAAGCUUCCCAUGACUGGAGUGGCAAAUUUGGGUUAGGAAACAGCUAGAAAAUAAACAGAGACAUAAGCAAGGCCUUGAAUGCCUGGUUAAAGGGUGUGGACUUUUCCUGCCAUUUUGAGGAGACACAGGAGGUUCGUGAGUGAGAGAAUGACGUGAUCAAAGCUCUGACUCAGAAUCAAUGAGGCAGUUUGUGUUGCACAAAGCUAGUUCUUAGUAGAUGCUCAAUAAAUGCAUAUGGGUGGUUGAAUGAAUGAGUAGGUGAGUAAAUGAAUCAAUGAAAGAGUGAUGGGAAAGGGAGGAACCAAAGAGGACCAGUGAGAAGACUGGCAUUGGUCCAGGGAAGGAAGAACUGGCUGGGGGCUAGGGAUAGCCUGGGUUAAUGCACCCCACAUAUACUUUAUCUGGGUGCCUGUUCUAUCAUCUGUCCCAGGGUGUGUGUGUGAGAAGGGGUUCCUUGUUCCCACUCUUUGUGCUUCUUGAGACUCAGCAAUGCCCCUGUUGUCUGUUCACCUGUUGACCCUAGGUUAGGAACUCUGAGGUAUCCCCUCCUUUUUCAGAAAAGAAGGUUUCUUUAUCUGGCUGGGCCCCAUGGGGCAGCCCAAGGCUCUGAGUGACAAUGGAGUAAGGGCUUUGGAGCCAGAAGUAGUUCUGGUUCUUCCACCCAGAACCCUGUGACCUUAGAUGAAGGACAAUGCCACCUGCCUCUCUGGGUUGCUGGGAAGGCUUGGUGAGUCCCCUGGGGAAAGUAUUCAUGCAGUGCUGGGCACACCAUGGGGCUGAAGGGGCUCCCUCCUCCGUUGCCAGCACCAGGGGCUCCCCAGGACACUGGGCUUCUUGACACUUGGUCUUUGUAGUCUUUGAAUGAAGAGGGCUGCCCUGCCACCUCCAGGCUGGCUCUGAGGUAUGAGUGAGGGUGCUUGGAAGGGAGGGAGGAUGCAGGGCAUUAAUUGGGCUAGGAGAGGCGGGGAAGGGGAGGCGUGGGUUUUGAGCAGUGAGGUUAAUGGCCCUCGCACCAAAGAGACAGCUUUAAUGAGCUUCAGCUGGCGAUGCCCCGAGUUACUGUGCGUGCUAAAAGGGUCGCGCUGUAAGAGUUUGAUGUGGACUGCUUCCCAGCCCUGGGGGUCAGAGGUCAGCUCCUGUCACUGGCCACUCAGUCUGGUCCUUAGUGACAUGGUGCUAAUUAACUGUGUGAGGAGCUGCCAGCCUGGAGUGGGGAGUGGUAUGUGUAUUGGCGGAGUGGGGGGGGGGGGGUGAGGAAGCAUUGGGUGGCUUCCAGGCAAGGGUGCUGCAGAUCCCAUAGCUGAGCCAUGUCCAAGGUCUGCUCAGUCCUCCUGCAGUGCCACAGGGGUGUGGCAUGCGUGGUGUGGAGGUGCUGAGAGAGCACAGAGGCAGACUUGGGGUGAUGGGUGUGGGGAAGGGGCUCAGGCCAUAGGGGAGGGGGCUACUAGGAUGGUUGUGUGUGGGAAAGCUGUAGGAGUGUUUUGGGCAGGGGAGUUACAUGGUCAGUGUUGGCUUCAGUCAGAGGAUGCUCAUAGUUUGUAGGGGAAGGGCUAGUGAGGAGAGACUGCAGACAAGGAGGCUGAAGGGGAGGGGCAGCAAGGUAAGCAAGAGUGCAUCGGCCCUGGAAAUAGAGGUAGGACACCAGGUAAACUUUCUUUCAUUCCGUACACACUACCUUGGACCUACCAUAUAUCAGGAACCAUGGUAGGUGCUAGAAAUGUAUUGGUAACAAUGGCAGACACAGUGCUCUGCCCCCACAGAGCUCACAAAUGGAGUUGUGGGCUUGGCCCUGGGGACUGAGGGUGAAGUCAGGUUUAGGGAUGGCCAAGGAGGGUCCGGAGGUGGUGCAGCACUGGACAGAAAGGCUGCUGGAGGCUUGUCAGUGUGACAUCAUAGUCAGGGGAGGGCACUUCCUCCUGGGGUAGCGGAUUUGGCCUUGGGAGCCUGGUGAACAGCAUGGUGCCAGAGCAGGUUGUGUCUUAUGAAGGCAGGCAUCAUCAUUCCCAUUUUAUAGAUGAAGAAACUGAGGCUCACUGAAGUGAACUGCCUAAGGUCACACAGCCAGUUGGUUGAGGAGCCAGGAUUCAAACCCAAGCCCAUGUGAGUGCAGAGCCUGUGUUGUUAUCACUGCAGAACUAUGAAGCACCCUUUUGGUAUUGGGCUUUGCGCUACCAAUAGAGACGAUGUGGAAGAAAACAAGCUCGCUUCCCUCAUUUCCCUCAGCGUCAAGUGAAACAUGCAGGCCUGAACAGAGCUUCAGCAGCAGCAGCUAAGGAAGAAAGCGAAGGCAGCAUCACCACUCCCUCUCUGCUGCUACAGUCACCCUGAGCCAGGGACCUGCAGCUGUUGGCAUCUGACCUCCUUCUGGCCCUGACGGUUCUUUGUGAUUUCAGUUCUCUACCUCAUGGCCCAGGAAAGUUCUGCUAAUCUUCCAGGGGCCACCCCCUCUGGGAAUCUCGCCUAGCCCUCCCAGUAUGAGUGUUCAAAACACACACUUGGGCCCUAUUAUAAUUUGUCAGAGGUAAUGA
Symphalangus syndactylus (siamang) is the source of this 4211-nucleotide long non-coding RNA. RefSeq lists it as uncharacterized. Lineage: Eukaryota; Metazoa; Chordata; Mammalia; Primates; Hylobatidae. The record is from RefSeq and is a predicted model, not a curated record.